GAGGGAGGGGGCGACGGGCCGGCCUCUCCGGGGACCAGGCGAGAGCAGGCUCCCGCUGCAGCAGGGCUGCAGAGAUGGGGUCCCCUCUGAUAAUUCUGUAAUCAUCCUCUGUUGAAAAUAAAGGUCUACAAAGUGUCCGUUACCCUGGAGCUGUACAAGUCACACACAGCUCCAUUGGAGAGAAAACUGGAUGGAACCAUUUGACUGAAAAUCCAUGUCAAAAGGCCAACAAGAAAGAGCUGAGACACUGCAGAAAGAGCAGGAAUAAAUAAGAGGUGAAGACAGACAGAGACCAGACAAGGAGGACUCAAUUACAGACUGACAGAAGACUCAAGGAAGAAAAUGAAGCUGGACCUGUGAAGAACUGUCGAAACAGCUGUAGAGGAAUUGUGGUGGAGGCAGUAAUGGCUCCUUUAGUAGCAGAGAAUAGAAAGAUCUCGAAAAUAAAGCCUAUUGUCAGGAGACUUGCACCCAUCCUGGCCUACUUCCAAGUAGAAACAAAAACAGAAACGAAGAUAUCCAUGAUACCUAAUGUUACAAGGAGAAGAAAGCACUUGUAAUCACAAGGGUACUGAGAAAAGGUAACAGACACAUUUAUAUAUGUGGAACCAGGAAUCUUUCUGAUGACUUUCAGAAAGGGUGGACAUACAAAUAAAAAUCAACCUUCUUCUUGGUGAGGAUUUGACCCUGGUUCCAUAUUAACCCAAGAGCUGAUAAGCACAAACCUGGAGUCCAGUUUUUAUGCAAAUAUAACAACUCUGCUUAUACCUUGAAUUACUUGUAUGAAGCGGGGAAAAUUUUUUACUCUCUCUGAACCCAUAAUUAAAAAAAAUCUGUAUGACUUGGAUAA
RNAcentral lists this long non-coding RNA (850 nucleotides) under Homo sapiens (human). RNAcentral's name for it is "non-protein coding lnc-GTF2B-15:3". Lineage: Eukaryota; Metazoa; Chordata; Mammalia; Primates; Hominidae. The record is from RNAcentral.